GAGUUUGAUCCUGGCUCAGAUUGAACGCUGGCGGCAUGCCUUACACAUGCAAGGCGAACGGCAGCACGGGAGCAAUCCUGGUGGCGAGUGGCGAACGGGUGAGUAAUAUAUCGGAACGUGUCCAUGAGUGGGGGAUAGCCCGGCGAAAGCCGGAUUAAUACCGCAUAAGACCUGAGGGUGAAAGCGGGGGAUCUUCGGACCUCGCGCUGAUGGAGCGGCCGGUACCAGAUUAGGUAGUUGGUGAGGUAAAGGCUCACCAAGCCUGCGAUCUGUAGCUGG
RNAcentral lists this ribosomal RNA (279 nucleotides) under uncultured bacterium. RNAcentral describes it as "partial 16S ribosomal RNA". It matches the Rfam family "Bacterial small subunit ribosomal RNA", at positions 9 to 290 of the family's 1533-position model. The record is from RNAcentral.